UGGCGGGGAGGGGGCAGAGACGCCCCUUGGGAGGCCUGGCUGUCUGGGCCCUCAGGCCCCGGGGGCCCGCAGCAGAGCCCCACCUCCCUGGCUGGCGUGCAGAGGUGGUCCAGGCCCUACCCCCAGGCACAGGCUGGUGUCCUCCUAACACAGUUGCAGAAGGAGUCAGCCAGCCAUGGCGUGAAGAAGAGAGAAAAAACGUUCAACUAUGCCGGUCUUUGCAGUUGAUUUCCUGUGGCUCUAAAACAAAGGCACGCCAGGCUGGCUGUUCCGUGGCCGGGCAAGGGGUGGCUCACCUUCCACCAGGUGGAGGGCGCCGUCCACGGCUUGCAGUGCUGUCCAAAUGGUGACCGUGUUACUGUGGAGGGUUGGAUUCCUGUCCCUGGAACCCAAACACCUGUGGGUUGCUGCCCCACCCCCACACUUCCCGCUCCCCUCUGCAGUGGCCUUGGGCCACUGCUGCUUCCUCGGGAGGAAGCACCUUCCUGCGUGUGGUGGGCGGUUAGUGGAAACACUCGAGGCACCCCUGGGCAGCCACUGAAGACGUGGGAAGAAACUGAGCUGUGCCGCUGGCCACGUCCUGCAGGUCAGCAAAGCCAAACCAUCGCGACUCAGCGGCUUCUGUCCACACCUGUGACCCGGGCGACCAGCCAGCGGGCUCUGCAGGGAGCAGCACUACCUGCCAAUGCUGGACAGCGUCACCGAUGUGCUCAGUAAUAUCCCACUAAAAGAGAUCGUUACCGAGACGCUGAAUCUCUGAGCAACAACCCGCAGGGCUGUGUGUCUGCGAGCACAGCCCUGGGCGACGGGCGGACGUCAUCCAAGGCUCCAGGUCACCCAGGGGUGGUGAGAGAUGACGGCCGGGUCGCGGCCGUGGAGCCUGCAGUGCCAGUGUCUUUGGGACACAGGCUGUCCUCUGCAGUGACGCCAGGUGUGCGACUCGCACCUGUGUAGUGUUUACACCAGCAAGCCCAGCUGUCUUCCCUCAGAGCACGUGGCACCUGCUCUGCCCCCCACACAACACACGGGGAUCCCGCUGGACCAACCCCUGCCCAGGUCCAGCAGCCGCCCUGCGAGCGAGCAGCUUGAAUGUUUUACCCAGGGUCGGUUUUUUUUUUUUAUCAAACAUGGGGUAAUAAAUGAGUAUUUCUUUAUCAAUAAGGUAAUAACUAAGCAAAUUGCGAGAGACAUUACUACAGGGACGCUACCAUAGACUGAGAAAUCCGGCCAGACCUCCGUAGCCGGAAGUGAGUUUAGGACCUGCUGACUUCCUCACACUCCCCGAAGCAGCACGUCCCAUCUGUUCCCCGACAGGGCAGGGGGGCACGCCUGCUGUGUCGUUUUGUGGACAAAGCCCCAGGAGAUCUGAAACGCUCACCCCUCUACCUGAGGCUUGCACGGAGGCAAGGUGCCGGCCUCCAUCCCCACCUGCGGAGCGAGGACACAG
Oryctolagus cuniculus (rabbit) is the source of this 1447-nucleotide non-coding RNA. NCBI's taxonomy places the organism in Eukaryota, Metazoa, Chordata, Mammalia, Lagomorpha, Leporidae. The record is from RefSeq and is a predicted model, not a curated record.